GCUGCGGGGGCUCCGAGCCUUCCGCUUCUCCGCUGCCGAUGUCGCGUACCUGCGCUCUGUCCUGCCCAGCACCACAGACGACGCCUUCUUCGACUACCUGGCCACCCUGGAUGCCUCCGAGGUGACCGUCACUGCCAUUCCCGAGGGCUCCGUCGUCUUUCCAAGGGUGCCGUUCCUGCARGUGAAGGGGCCGCUCUUGGUGGUGCAGCUGCUGGAGACCACCUUGCUGUGCCUGGUCAACUAUGCCAGCCUGGUGGCCACCAACGCUGCCAGAUUCC
RNAcentral lists this long non-coding RNA (278 nucleotides) under Zosterops lateralis melanops. RNAcentral's name for it is "lncRNA (ENSZLMG00000005967.1)". The record is from RNAcentral. Lineage: Eukaryota; Metazoa; Chordata; Aves; Passeriformes; Zosteropidae.